This 1372-nucleotide ribosomal RNA is filed under the name uncultured bacterium. RNAcentral's name for it is "bacterial SSU rRNA". It matches the Rfam family "Bacterial small subunit ribosomal RNA", at positions 28 to 1381 of the family's 1533-position model. The record is from RNAcentral.
GAUGAACGCUGGCGGCGUGCCUAAUACAUGCAAGUCGAGCGAACGGACGAGAAGCUUGCUUCUCUGAUGUUAGCGGCGGACGGGUGAGUAACACGUGGAUAACCUACCUAUAAGACUGGGAUAACUUCGGGAAACCGGAGCUAAUACCGGAUAAUAUUUUGAACCGCAUGGUUCAAAAGUGAAAGACGGUCUUGCUGUCACUUAUAGAUGGAUCCGCGCUGCAUUAGCUAGUUGGUAAGGUAACGGCUUACCAAGGCAACGAUGCAUAGCCGACCUGAGAGGGUGAUCGGCCACACUGGAACUGAGACACGGUCCAGACUCCUACGGGAGGCAGCAGUAGGGAAUCUUCCGCAAUGGGCGAAAGCCUGACGGAGCAACGCCGCGUGAGUGAUGAAGGUCUUCGGAUCGUAAAACUCUGUUAUUAGGGAAGAACAUAUGUGUAAGUAACUGUGCACAUCUUGACGGUACCUAAUCAGAAAGCCACGGCUAACUACGUGCCAGCAGCUGCGGUAAUACGUAGGUGGCAAGCGUUAUCCGGAAUUAUUGGGCGUAAAGCGCGCGUAGGCGGUUUUUUAAGUCUGAUGUGAAAGCCCACGGCUCAACCGUGGAGGGUCAUUGGAAACUGGAAAACUUGAGUGCAGAAGAGGAAAGUGGAAUUCCAUGUGUAGCGGUGAAAUGCGCAGAGAUAUGGAGGAACACCAGUGGCGAAGGCGACUUUCUGGUCUGUAACUGACGCUGAUGUGCGAAAGCGUGGGGAUCAAACAGGAUUAGAUACCCUGGUAGUCCACGCCGUAAACGAUGAGUGCUAAGUGUUAGGGGGUUUCCGCCCCUUAGUGCUGCAGCUAACGCAUUAAGCACUCCGCCUGGGGAGUACGACCGCAAGGUUGAAACUCAAAGGAAUUGACGGGGACCCGCACAAGCGGUGGAGCAUGUGGUUUAAUUCGAAGCAACGCGAAGAACCUUACCAAAUCUUGACAUCCUUUGACAACUCUAGAGAUAGAGCUUUCCCCUUCGGGGGACAAAGUGACAGGUGGUGCAUGGUUGUCGUCAGCUCGUGUCGUGAGAUGUUGGGUUAAGUCCCGCAACGAGCGCAACCCUUAAGCUUAGUUGCCAUCAUUAAGUUGGGCACUCUAAGUUGACUGCCGGUGACAAACCGGAGGAAGGUGGGGAUGACGUCAAAUCAUCAUGCCCCCUAUGAUUUGGGCUACACACGUGCUACAAUGGACAAUACAAAGGGCAGCGAAACCGCGAGGUCAAGCAAAUCCCAUAAAGUUGUUCUCAGUUCGGAUUGUAGUCUGCAACUCGACUACAUGAAGCUGGAAUCGCUAGUAAUCGUAGAUCAGCAUGCUACGGUGAAUACGUUCCCGGGUCU